GAAUUCUUGAGUCUGAUCCUGCAUGAGGAUCGAGAAUCAGCUUAGGACAAUGCAUUGCAUGCCUCCAAUCUGUAAGUUUUUAAUUAUUUUUAAUAUUAAUUUUACAACUGAUUUUGAUUGUUAGUUUAAGUAGAUUGCAAUCGAAUCUCAUGGGAAAUAAAUUAUUGUGUAUUUCUAACAGUUAUACCAUCCCUUGAGCUGAGGAGUUUCUUGAGGCUUUCCAACUACCUCAAAAUCUUACACUUCUGCUAGAUGAUUAUGAUAGACAUCACCAUCCUCAUGACAACAAGGAACCACAUGCCCCAAUCACUCG
This 313-nucleotide long non-coding RNA is filed under the name Elaeis guineensis (African oil palm). RNAcentral's name for it is "long non-coding RNA (EGUI_LNC022012)". Lineage: Eukaryota; Viridiplantae; Streptophyta; Magnoliopsida; Arecales; Arecaceae. The record is from RNAcentral.